GACGAACGCUGGCGGCGUGCUUAACACAUGCAAGUCGAACGGAAAGGCCCUGCUUUUGUGGGGUGCUCGAGUGGCGAACGGGUGAGUAACACGUGAGUAACCUGCCCUUGACUUUGGGAUAACUUCAGGAAACUGGGGCUAAUACCGGAUAGGAUCUCCUGCUGCAUGGUGGGGGUUGGAAAGUUUCGGCGGUUGGGGAUGGACUCGCGGCUUAUCAGCUUGUUGGUGGGGUAGUGGCUUACCAAGGCUUUGACGGGUAGCCGGCCUGAGAGGGGGGACGGCCAACAUGGGACUGGGAGAAGGCCCAGACGUCUAUCGGAGGCAACAGGGGGGAAGAUUGCCAAAUGGGGGGGAGGCUGGUGUGACGAAGCCGGGUGCGGGAAGACGGGCUUUUGGUUGGAAACCGCUUUCGCCUGUGACGAAGCGUGAGUGACGGUAAUGGGUAAAGAAGCACCGGCUAACUACGUG
RNAcentral lists this ribosomal RNA (468 nucleotides) under uncultured bacterium. Its description in RNAcentral is "partial 16S ribosomal RNA". It matches the Rfam family "Bacterial small subunit ribosomal RNA", at positions 28 to 507 of the family's 1533-position model. The record is from RNAcentral.